RNAcentral lists this ribosomal RNA (520 nucleotides) under uncultured Glomeraceae. Its description in RNAcentral is "SSU rRNA". It matches the Rfam family "Eukaryotic small subunit ribosomal RNA", at positions 569 to 1094 of the family's 1831-position model. The record is from RNAcentral. Lineage: Eukaryota; Fungi; Glomeromycota; Glomeromycetes; Glomerales; Glomeraceae.
AGCAGCCGCGGUAAUUCCAGCUCCAAUAGCGUAUAUUAAAGUUGUUGCAGUUAAAAGCUCGUAGUUGAAUUUCGGGAUCAAAUUGUCGGUCGUGCUUCGGUACGCACUGGUAUUAUUGGUUCCUACCUUCUGAAGAACCGCGAUGUCAUUAAUUUGGUGUCGUGGGGAAUCAGGACUGUUACUUUGAAAAAAUUAGAGUGUUUAAAGCAGGCUUACGCUUGAAUACAUUAGCAUGGAAUAAUGAAAUAGGACGUUUGAUUCUAUUUUGUUGGUUUCUAGGAUUGACGUAAUGAUUAAUAGGGAUAGUUGGGGGCAUUAGUAUUCAAUUGUCAGAGGUGAAAUUCUUGGAUUUAUUGAAGACUAACUACUGCGAAAGCAUUUGCCAAGGAUGUUUUCAUUAAUCAAGAACGAAAGUUAGGGAUCGAAGACGAUCAGAUACCGUCGUAGUCUUAACCAUAAACUAUGCCGACUAGGGAUCGGAUGAUGUUAAUUUUUAUGUACUCAUUCGGCGCCUUACGGG